RNAcentral lists this ribosomal RNA (890 nucleotides) under uncultured bacterium. RNAcentral's name for it is "bacterial SSU rRNA". It matches the Rfam family "Bacterial small subunit ribosomal RNA", at positions 8 to 916 of the family's 1533-position model. The record is from RNAcentral.
AGAGUUUGAUCCUGGCUCAGGACGAACGCUGGCGGCGUGCUUAACACAUGCAAGUCGAACGAUGAAGCCCUUCGGGGUGGAUUAGUGGCGAACGGGUGAGUAACACGUGGGUAAUCUGCCCUGUACUCUGGGAUAAGCCCGGGAAACUGGGUCUAAUACCGGAUAUGACCUUUCAUCGCAUGGUGAUUGGUGGAAAGUUCCGGCGGUGCAGGAUGAACCCGCGGCCUAUCAGCUUGUUGGUGGGGUGAUGGCCUACCAAGGCGACGACGGGUAGCCGGCCUGAGAGGGCGACCGGCCACACUGGGACUGAGACACGGCCCAGACUCCUACGGGAGGCAGCAGUGGGGAAUAUUGCGCAAUGGGCGAAAGCCUGACGCAGCGACGCCGCGUGAGGGAUGACGGCCUUCGGGUUGUAAACCUCUUUCGCACGGGACGAAGCGCAAGUGACGGUACCGUGAGAAGAAGCACCGGCUAACUACGUGCCAGCAGCCGCGGUAAUACGUAGGGUGCGAGCGUUGUCCGGAAUUAUUGGGCGUAAAGAGCUCGUAGGCGGUUUGUCGCGUCUAUCGUGAAAACUGGAGGCUUAACUUUCAGCGUGCGGUGGAUACGGGCAGACUUGAGUUCGGUAGGGGAGACUGGAAUUCCUGGUGUAGCGGUGAAAUGCGCAGAUAUCAGGAGGAACACCGGUGGCGAAGGCGGGUCUCUGGGCCGAUACUGACGCUGAGGAGCGAAAGCGUGGGGAGCGAACAGGAUUAGAUACCCUGGUAGUCCACGCUGUAAACGUUGGGCGCUAGGUGUGGGGAGCAUUCAUGUUUUCCGUGCCGUAGCUAACGCAUUAAGCGCCCUGCCUGGGGAGUACGGCGCAAGGCUAAACUUAAAUGAAUUGACGG